AGGCAAUCCAAGCCUGCAUUAAUGCCAACUUUUAGCGCACGGCUCUCUCCCAAGAGCCAUUACCCUAGACCUGAUACAGGAAUCGUAUCAGGUCUCUUUUU
RNAcentral lists this small RNA (101 nucleotides) under Hafnia alvei FB1. The record is from RNAcentral. Lineage: Bacteria; Pseudomonadati; Pseudomonadota; Gammaproteobacteria; Enterobacterales; Hafniaceae.